UUUGAGGGUCAAAAUAAAACUUUCCUUAUAACCCGCUUUAGCUAUACCCUGGUUUCGCAUUCUGCGCGUUAGAAUUUGGAUCUGUCUCGAUCACUUCCCUCCCUCUCUGGAAUCUUCUCUUGCCUAUUUAACAAGGCCAUAUCGAUCUUCCGGAACUGAUCAACGAUGGACGUGGAGGACGGUUUCGAGUUCGCCGAUCACUCUCCUCCGUCAUUUCAGAACGUGUUGUUGCUUGAUAAUUGGUAUUGCCGUGUUUGUGCGUGUUCGUAUUGAUGUGUGGCACAGCAAGUAAUUAGACUACUUCUGGGCGUCCCCUUUAUCUGCAAAGGUGUUUUUCAUUGUUUCUGGACAUGCCACUCAGGUGCUAUGAUCUAUUGAUGAAGCAGCAAGUUUUUCAAUUUCUUUAUCAGUGGAGUUCCAAUGUUUAUAAAUUUACAAUAGAAUGGGAUCUUACAAUUUUAUAUGUUGGGUACCUGCACAAUGUUGCAAGUAUUACGAAAGGUACUAAAUUAUACUUUAUAAGAUAAAAUUAAGAGGUUUUAACAGUUAAUGCGGAGACUCGGGAAUUAUAAUGGUUGUGCAGGUUAGGAGACUACUAAUGCCCUCCUUUGAGGUCAAGUCAUGGGAAGACAAUCAAGCAUUCUUAUCAUGCUUGUCUAUUUAUGAUCAGCUGAGUUAUUCUGUUUCCCUUGUUAUUUUUUCUACUGGCUAUUUUAGAAUUGUGACAAAGAAAAUUUUUAGAAGAUCAUUGGUGAAAAGAUGUUGAAAGCAUCAUUUUUCCCGUGAUCUUGGUCUUACCUAUGAAACUUUUCUUUGAAUGUCUAUCAACUCUGGAAUUACAUUAUUAACCAACCAGAGCUUUUGAGUUUUGAAUGUCUAUACAAGCAUGCCUAAACUCUCUAAAGGCUGGCCUAUGUUUGUUUAUAUCAAGGGCAAUUGUUUAAUGGAACUAACAUUAUAACUCAAUUGCUUAGGAAGGCCAUAAACUCUGCCAGUGGUGGACAUCAGGAUUAAUUAUGUAUACAAAACAUGACAAAAUUAAUUUUCUUGAACGGCAAAAGCAAAUAUGAUAUAUAAGUUACCCGUUCAAAUUGGAUGAGGCCUGAAUAAGUUAAUUUGUAGGUUGUGUUUAUCCUUGCUUUUUUUUCUUUUUUGGGUUUUCUUUCGGAGCUUAUGAAGUAUAAUUUAAAUUUCAUCGUUAACAGGGGAAUGUGGUCAAGGAUAUUGAGGCUAAAGGAUUCAACCCAGGAUUGAUAGUGCUGCUGCUUGUUGGCGGGCUAGUUCUAACAUUCCUAAUUGGAAAUUAUGCACUCUACGUGUAUGCGCAGAAGACACUUCCUCCCAAAAAGAAGAAGCCAAUCUCCAAGAAGAAAAUGAAGAGAGAGAGACUGAAGCAUGGCGUCUCUGCACCCGGAGAGUGAAAUUUGAGAUGUGUUUGCUAUUCAUUACCCUUGUUAAACUCGUGUUCAAAAUUUUCCCGUCUUUCGCGUCAAUAUUUCGCGUCAAGAGAGCCAUGUUAAUUUUUUUUUUUUUUUAUAACGAUUAUGUUAUUUAUUUCACCUUUUAGCUAUUAUACUUGAUAGAAAAUUUUACCAGUUAGAGUUCA
Molecule: RNA transcript, 1606 nt
Organism: Manihot esculenta (cassava)
Lineage: Eukaryota; Viridiplantae; Streptophyta; Magnoliopsida; Malpighiales; Euphorbiaceae
Gene name: DNA-binding protein S1FA
Exons: 2
Source: RefSeq, a predicted model, not a curated record